CGCUUGCGCCAGCCAGUGUGAAAAUGCUAGAUGCACCCGGUAAGUGUACACCAUUUUUCACUUAGAGCCCUUCCAUAUUUCCAAAAAAUCCCCAAAAGUUACCAAAAAUACUAAACAAUAUUCUAAACUAAUCCCUAUACUCCUUUCCCAUUGUUCAUCACAUUCAUACCCUUUUCCAAAAUAUCUAGCCCCACAUAAAUAGAAACCCUAUAGAAAUAUACCCAUAGAUUCAUGUCCUGCCAAUCCAAGCCCCAAAAAUUCUAGGAAAAUUCUUAAAAAAUACCGUAGAGCCAUCUAAGCCUAUUUCCAUGCCCAUAUUAGGUCACCUUGCCCAGGCUCUACCUCAGUGGCCGAAGUGAGUCCAUCAAGCAAGUUCUAUGCUCAAUUUUCUAUCCGCUUGAUCUUGCCCGAGCUCCACCCUAGUGGUCGAAGUGAGUUCGUCAUGCAAGCUCUCUGGCUUCCACUUGAUCUUGCCUGACUGCACCAUGUGUACUAUCCCCUAGUACCAGGAUAGACCAACUGUCACACAAGCUCUCGAGUUCCACUCCUACCCUACAUAAGGAAACUAGACCAGCUCCAUCUGCCAUAGGGUCAAAGUCGAGCUUGUCUUACAAGUUUCCUAGCCUUGAAAUCCAUCCUCAUCACCCAGCAUCCACAUCAUACUUAGGGUCCAUUCUAAUACCCAACCGUUGUGCUACCUAAUCCAAACCACAUAUAUCGACCCAAUCUAGCCGUUAUGUUGCCCAACUAAAAACCCCAAAUAUCGACCCGACCUAGCCGUUAUGCCGUCCAUCCAAACCCUAGAAAAUCCAUUCCUUAUUCUCUUAUAAAUUCAACAAUUCCAUCCAUUAAUUAUUUGCAAGCUUAUUUCUAAAUAAUUAAUAAACCAUUCAUCCUUUAUCCGAGGAUUAUCCUUUGAAAUCCAAUAAUUCCCAAAAUAUCCAUUAUCCAUUCUUUUUCCAUUUCCUUUAGUCAUAUAUUGAUUGCUAGGAAUUUAUUGUUAAAUUAUUUGUAUAAUUGCAUGCUUGUUGGAGCCGAG
RNAcentral lists this long non-coding RNA (1039 nucleotides) under Setaria viridis. Its description in RNAcentral is "long non-coding RNA (SVIR_LNC005347)". The record is from RNAcentral. Lineage: Eukaryota; Viridiplantae; Streptophyta; Magnoliopsida; Poales; Poaceae.